UUGACGGGCCCCGCACAAGCAGCGGAGCGUGUGGUUUAAUUCGUUGCUACACGAAGAACCUUACCUGGGUUUGACAUAAUGGUGGUAGGGAUCCGAAAGGUGACCGACCCUUCGGGGAGCCAUUACAGGUGUUGCAUGGCUGUCGUCAGCUCGUGUCGUGAGAUGUUCGGUUAAGUCCGCUAACGAGCGCAACCCUCGCUGUGUGUUAUAUGUGUCACACAGGACUGCUGGUAUUAAGCCGGAGGAAGUGGGACGACGUCAAGUCAGCAUGACCUUUAUAUCCAGGGCUACACACACGCUACAAUGGUCAGUACAAUGGGUUGCCAAGCCGCGAGGCGGAGCCAAUCCUAAAAAGCUGGCCUCAGUUCAGAUUGCAGUCUGAAACUCGACUGCAUGAAGUCGGAGUUGCUAGUAAACGCAGGUCAGCUAUACUGCGUUGAAUACGUUCCCGGGGCUU
This 457-nucleotide ribosomal RNA is filed under the name uncultured Anaerolineaceae bacterium. Its description in RNAcentral is "bacterial SSU rRNA". It matches the Rfam family "Bacterial small subunit ribosomal RNA", at positions 910 to 1382 of the family's 1533-position model. The record is from RNAcentral. Lineage: Bacteria; Bacillati; Chloroflexota; Anaerolineae; Anaerolineales; Anaerolineaceae.